CACGUAGGGGGCAAGCGUUGUCCGGAUUUAUUGGGCGUAAAGAGCUCGUAGGCGGCUUUGUCAGUCGGGUGUGAAACCUCCAGGCUCAACCUGGAGCCGCCACCCGAUACUGCAAUGGCUAGAGUCCGGUAGGGGAGCAUGGAACUCCUGGUGUAGCGGUGAAAUGCGCAGAUAUCAGGAAGAACACCAGUGGCGAAGGCGGUGCUCUGGGCCGGAACUGACGCUGAGGAGCGAAAGCUAGGGGAGCGAACGGG
RNAcentral lists this ribosomal RNA (254 nucleotides) under uncultured bacterium. Its description in RNAcentral is "partial 16S ribosomal RNA". It matches the Rfam family "Bacterial small subunit ribosomal RNA", at positions 524 to 776 of the family's 1533-position model. The record is from RNAcentral.